AAGGUUAUUCCCUACUCUGGUUAUUAAACGGCUCUGAACUUGUCAAUCAAGUCAAACACAAGCAGUCAAAAAUGUAUGCUAAUUAUAGUCCAGGCGAAGAAGUUAAAUGUAGGAUGAUGGCCAGGAUGAUGAACUCGAACGAUUCAGGAUUGGAACGAGGAUAUGGAAACGACUACCAGAUCACAAAGCGUACAUACUUCCAACAGCCAGAUUCCUAUACUCACUCAGUGAGCACAGAGAGAACCCCACAUGUGAGAAACAGGAAGUGGAAUGGGGGUUCCAAGACGUUCCAGAAAAGACCAUAUUCUCGGAGGAAUGGUUCCAGGAGUGCUUCAUUAGAAGACACCAUACAAAGAGGAAAAGAAAGGAAUGCAUCUGCUCUGCAUGACACAAGUUGCAGAACUACACAAGGUGACACUUCAACAGCACACAAAAUCCCAAGCUGUUUGUUAAAGAUGAUUGUGAUUGACCUACAACCAUUGUCCAUUGUUGAAGACAAAGGUAUCUGCGCUGUUAUGAGGGCUAUUGAGCCCACACAGGACAUUUCACGAGUGACAUCCAAAGACCUACGCUUACAACUUCUUCAAAUGUAUAAAGAGACUAAAGAGAUGGUGAAAAAAGAGUUGGCUUCAUCAGAUUACAUUUCGUUGACAUCAGAAUUGUGGGUUUCAAGAGCUGAAGUAUCUUUUGUGACGGUGACCUGUCACUAUCUAGGCAAAGACUGGCAUCUGAAGUCCCAUGUGUUAGAAACAGCCAAUUUACCUGAUGAACAUACUCCAAAAAACAUAGUGGACCAGAUGCUGAAGACCGCAAAAGCAUGGGGCAUUAAAGACAAAAUCCAUACCGUUGUCAUGGAAGGAGGAACAACCAUGAAGGACGAAGUCUCAAAAGCUGGAUGGACACACAUCUCUUGUCUUGCUUAUACUUU
This is a long non-coding RNA of Oncorhynchus mykiss (rainbow trout), 928 nucleotides long. RefSeq annotates it as zinc finger BED domain-containing protein 4. The record is from RefSeq and is a predicted model, not a curated record. NCBI's taxonomy places the organism in Eukaryota, Metazoa, Chordata, Actinopteri, Salmoniformes, Salmonidae.